CCUAUAAUUGGAGCUUCAUUGGGGAGUAGCCUCUCUUCAGCCUGAAGAGGCUUGCGUCAACACACUUGUCCCGCAGGACAUGGCGCAAGCGGUUUCCGAGCUUGGCAAGACCUUUGAUCAUGAUGCCUCCGAUCUGGCCGGGGAUGCGUCGUGGUCAAUCGUCUCCGUACCGGCCUUGGAACAUU
Molecule: small RNA, 185 nt
Filed under: Burkholderiales bacterium
Lineage: Bacteria; Pseudomonadati; Pseudomonadota; Betaproteobacteria; Burkholderiales
Description: Manganese sequence
Rfam family: Manganese Mn2+ riboswitch aptamer (yybP-ykoY)
About the family: This RNA was originally discovered in E. coli during a large scale screen and was named SraF. The family was later found to exist upstream of related families of protein genes in many bacteria, including the the yybP and ykoK genes in B. subtilis.
Source: RNAcentral